Molecule: ribosomal RNA, 253 nt
Filed under: uncultured bacterium
Lineage: Bacteria
Description: partial 16S ribosomal RNA
Rfam family: Bacterial small subunit ribosomal RNA
Source: RNAcentral
UACGGGGGGGGCAAGCGUUGUUCGGAAUUACUGGGCGUAAAGGGCGCGUAGGCGGCCUGCUAAGUCGGAUGUGAAAACUCUGGGCUCAACCCAGAGCCUGCAUUCGAUACUGACGGGCUAGAGUACUGGAGGGGAAAGCGGAAUUCCUGGUGUAGCGGUGAAAUGCGUAGAUAUCAGGAGGAACACCGGUGGCGAAGGCGGCUUUCUGGACAGUAACUGACGCUGAGGCGCGAAAGCUAGGGGAGCAAACAGG